UUUCCCUCAGGAUAGCUGGCACUCGCUUGAGCGAGUCUCAUCUGGUAAAGCGAAUGAUUAGAGGCCUUGGGGCCGAAACGACCUCAACCUAUUCUCAAACUUUAAAUGGGUGAGAUCUCUGGCUUGCUUGAACAUUGAAGCCACGAGAUGGAAAGGAUUUUUUAAUCUUUUCCGUAAUGGAUCAGAGUGCCAAGUGGGCCAAUUUUGGUAAGCAGAACUGGCGCUGUGGGA
This 231-nucleotide ribosomal RNA is filed under the name Eusandalum sp. D2666. Its description in RNAcentral is "partial 28S ribosomal RNA". It matches the Rfam family "Eukaryotic large subunit ribosomal RNA", at positions 967 to 1163 of the family's 3401-position model. Lineage: Eukaryota; Metazoa; Arthropoda; Insecta; Hymenoptera; Eupelmidae. The record is from RNAcentral.